RNAcentral lists this long non-coding RNA (552 nucleotides) under Micromonas commoda. Its description in RNAcentral is "long non-coding RNA (MCOM_LNC000350)". The record is from RNAcentral. Lineage: Eukaryota; Viridiplantae; Chlorophyta; Mamiellophyceae; Mamiellales; Mamiellaceae.
AUCGUCGCGUCUACUACUCAACACUAGAGUCCCUCGGCGUACUUGAGGGGCUGGUGUUUGCUGGUUUUCCCGAGGUCCUUGCGCAGGUGCGUGGGCACGCUCGUGCCCAGCGCGGGCCACACGAAUUCCUCCUCCUCCUCGGCAGGGUCAUUCGCCGUGACCUUAGCGAGGGUCUCCUUCGCCAGUGUGGCCGCCGCCUUCUCGGCUUCCCGCUCCUCGCGCUCAAGUUUCAUGGUGGUCUCGUGCGCCUUAAGCCGAUCUUCUCCGAUCUGUAGCCUGUCGAGACGGUGGCGUCGGGUGGUGGGAGGGUCAGGGUUCGCGCCCCUGGAGUGUUUUUCUUACCAAAUCGAGAAUCGUACCUCAGCUCGACCUUCAUGCCCUCCUCGGUCUGCAUGCACUGCCGCGUCGUGGACGGACGGUACAUGGUGUACGGCCAGUUAGUAGACGGCGCCAUCUUCGCGGUAAACCCCGUUAAUCUUCGUGGUAAACCCCUUCGCUGGUGCGUCGCGCCCCGUCCUCUGCGUCCAAUUUUGCGGGAAACUGAUGAGAACG